This 268-nucleotide long non-coding RNA is filed under the name Strongylocentrotus purpuratus (purple sea urchin). Its description in RNAcentral is "uncharacterized LOC115921218". Lineage: Eukaryota; Metazoa; Echinodermata; Echinoidea; Camarodonta; Strongylocentrotidae. The record is from RNAcentral.
UAGCUAGCUAGCUGACAACAACGCGUCGCGACGAUAUCCACAAAGUCGGAGAAUGGAUUGAAACUAAAGAGCUGAAAGAAGUUAACAACAUGAAGCAGAAAGUCCCAUGCAGGAUGAUGCUUCUCUACAGUGGGUGAUGAAGGCAUGCUGGUUUACAAACUCAGGAGAGGAACAAAGAAGAGAUAUUGACGGGAUCAUAUCUAGAGAUGCGGGCCUACUACACUUCAUACGAGCAAGUGUGCUAAUAUACAUACUUGGGUUAUCACUA